Molecule: ribosomal RNA, 1343 nt
Filed under: uncultured bacterium
Lineage: Bacteria
Description: 16S ribosomal RNA
Rfam family: Bacterial small subunit ribosomal RNA
Source: RNAcentral
GACGAACGCUGGCGGCGUGCUUAACACAUGCAAGUCGAACGGAAAGGCCCUGCUUUUGUGGGGUGCUCGAGUGGCGAACGGGUGAGUAACACGUGAGUAACCUGCCCUUGACUUUGGGAUAACUUCAGGAAACUGGGGCUAAUACCGGAUAGGAGCUCCUGCUGCAUGGUGGGGGUUGGAAAGUUUCGGCGGUUGGGGAUGGACUCGCGGCUUAUCAGCUUGUUGGUGGGGUAGUGGCUUACCAAGGCUUUGACGGGUAGCCGGCCUGAGAGGGUGACCGGCCACAUUGGGACUGAGAUACGGCCCAGACUCCUACGGGAGGCAGCAGUGGGGAAUAUUGCACAAUGGGCGGAAGCCUGAUGCAGCAACGCCGCGUGCGGGAUGACGGCCUUCGGGUUGUAAACCGCUUUCGCCUGUGACGAAGCGUGAGUGACGGUAAUGGGUAAAGAAGCACCGGCUAACUACGUGCCAGCAGCCGCGGUGAUACGUAGGGUGCGAGCGUUGUCCGGAUUUAUUGGGCGUAAAGGGCUCGUAGGUGGUUGAUCGCGUCGGAAGUGUAAUCUUGGGGCUUAACCCUGAGCGUGCUUUCGAUACGGGUUGACUUGAGGAAGGUAGGGGAGAAUGGAAUUCCUGGUGGAGCGGUGGAAUGCGCAGAUAUCAGGAGGAACACCAGUGGCGAAGGCGGUUCUCUGGGCCUUUCCUGACGCUGAGGAGCGAAAGCGUGGGGAGCGAACAGGCUUAGAUACCCUGGUAGUCCACGCUGUAAACGGUGGGUACUAGGUGUGGGGUCCAUUCCACGGGUUCCGUGCCGUAGCUAACGCUUUAAGUACCCCGCCUGGGGAGUACGGCCGCAAGGCUAAAACUCAAAGGAAUUGACGGGGCCCCGCACAAGCGGCGGAGCAUGCGGAUUAAUUCGAUGCAACGCGUAGAACCUUACCUGGGUUUGACAUGGAUCGGGAGCGCUCAGAGAUGGGUGUGCCUCUUUUGGGGUCGGUUCACAGGUGGUGCAUGGCUGUCGUCAGCUCGUGUCGUGAGAUGUUGGGUUAAGUCCCGCAACGAGCGCAACCCUUGUUCACUGUUGCCAGCACGUUAUGGUGGGGACUCAGUAGAGACCGCCGGGGUCAACUCGGAGGAAGGUGGGGAUGACGUCAAGUCAUCAUGCCCCUUAUGUCCAGGGCUUCACGCAUGCUACAAUGGCUGGUACAGAGAGUGGCGAGCCUGUGAGGGUGAGCGAAUCUCGGAAAGCCGGUCUCAGUUCGGAUUGGGGUCUGCAACUCGACCUCAUGAAGUCGGAGUCGCUAGUAAUCGCAGAUCAGCAACGCUGCGGUGAAUACGUUCCCGGG